This 497-nucleotide ribosomal RNA is filed under the name uncultured bacterium. Its description in RNAcentral is "partial 16S ribosomal RNA". It matches the Rfam family "Bacterial small subunit ribosomal RNA", at positions 28 to 507 of the family's 1533-position model. The record is from RNAcentral.
GAUGAACGCUGGCGGCGUGCCUAAUACAUGCAAGUCGAGCGAACGGACGAGAAGCUUGCUUCUCUGAUGUUAGCGGCGGACGGGUGAGUAACACGUGGAUAACCUACCUAUAAGACUGGGAUAACUUCGGGAAACCGUAGCUAAUACCGGAUAAUAUUUUGAACCGCAUGGUUCAAAAGUGAAAGACGGUCUUGCUGUCACUUAUAGAUGGAUCCGCGCUGCAUUAGCUAGUUGGUAAGGUAACGGCUUACCAAGGCAACGAUGCAUAGCCGACCUGAGAGGGUGAUCGGCCACACUGGAACUGAGACACGGUCCAGACUCCUACGGGAGGCAGCAGUAGGGAAUCUUCCGCAAUGGGCGAAAGCCUGACGGAGCAACGCCGCGUGCGUGAUGAAGGUCUUCGGAUCGUAAAACUCUGUUAUUAGGGAAGAACAUAUGUGUAAGUAACUGUGCACAUCUUGACGGUACCUAAUCAGAAAGCCACGGCUAACUACGUG